Molecule: ribosomal RNA, 864 nt
Filed under: Microhyla achatina (Java rice frog)
Lineage: Eukaryota; Metazoa; Chordata; Amphibia; Anura; Microhylidae
Description: partial large subunit ribosomal RNA
Rfam family: Bacterial large subunit ribosomal RNA
Source: RNAcentral
AGCAGCCACCUUUAAAAAAGCGUUAAAGCUUUAUUUUCCUUUUGUAUAAAUUCCACUACCUUACUACAACCCAUAAACCAUACUGAAUGAUUUCAUAACUGUAUGAAAGCCUAUAUGUUAGAACUAGUAACAAGAAGAAGCCCUUCUCCAAAAUGUAAGUAUAAGCCAAAAUGAACUACUCACUGGCAAUUAAAGUCAAUAAACUAUUAGUAGUAACUCAACAAGAAAAACCUACUAAUCACAACGUUAACCUUACACCAGCACAUUUCUGGAAAGAUUAAAAGGACGGGAAGGAACUCGGCAAACUACUAACCCCGCCUGUUUACCAAAAACAUCGCCUCUUGCUUCCCAUAAGAGGUCCAGCCUGCCCAGUGACAAAGUUAAACGGCCGCGGUACCCUAACCGUGCAAAGGUAGCGCAAUCACUUGUUCUUUAAAUGAGGACUAGUAUGAACGGCAUCACGAGGGUUAUGCUGUCUCCCCGCCCCAUUCAGUGAAACUGAUCUCCCCGUGAAGAAGCGGGGAUAAAAAUAUAAGACGAGAAGACCCCAUGGAGCUUUAAACUCAAAAUCAACUGCUACACAAAAUAACCUAAUAUUCAUGCAACUCUGAUUUCUAGUUUUCGGUUGGGGUGACCACGGAGUAAAAAUUAACCUCCACGAUGAAAGGAAAUAAUAACCUAAACCAAGAGCUACAGCUCUAAGUAUUAAUAAAUUAACCAAACUGAUCCAAUUACUUGAUCAACGAACCAAGUUACCCUGGGGAUAACAGCGCAAUCCAUUUCAAGAGCUCAUAUCGACAAAUGGGUUUACGACCUCGAUGUUGGAUCAGGAUAUCCCAGUGGCGCAGCCGCUACUAACGGUUC